This is a long non-coding RNA of Gossypium raimondii (Peruvian cotton), 748 nucleotides long. RefSeq lists it as uncharacterized. The record is from RefSeq and is a predicted model, not a curated record. The transcript has 2 exons. NCBI's taxonomy places the organism in Eukaryota, Viridiplantae, Streptophyta, Magnoliopsida, Malvales, Malvaceae.
AUAGUUAACCUCCGUUAACGGGGUCUCAGAACAAGUCCUCUCUCUCUAUAAGAAGGAACCCAUACUUGCAUCAAAGGGAAGAAAGAUGUCUCCGGGACACAUUCCAUCGUUAAGGAUUAACAGCAACAACAACAGCAUCACUAGUUUCAGCUUUCUGAUGGGUGUAUUCCUAGUUCUUUUGAACCUCAAUUUCCAACCCCUGCGUAAUAUUGAAUCUCCGUUUGAGACCCAAGGUGUCGAUAUUUAUCAUGUCGAUAUUUAUCAUCGCCACACUUGUUUUCGCUGCAACUUGGCAAAUCGAACAUCAUCUUCAAACCAGCAACAAUAACUCAUCGAUUCACCGCCUCAUAGUUACCAAAAUCAGUCUCUUUAGUGGAAGCCUCGCCGCCGUUGUACUAGUAUUGCUUAUCUUCCCAGCAAUUGGGUGGUUCCUUCUUCUUGUUUGGACCCUCAUCCUUAUGAAGCAACUAUACGAGGCAUGCCAAAUGCUCCGCCGGCUAUAUCAUUCAAUUUCCUUGGUUUCCUACGUGUUCAAUGAAGUAUGUGGCCGACGUGCUCAUCUAAGCCGAGGAAGAAAUGGACUGAUAGCUUAAGUAAUUAUGCCUUAUUUGUUUGGACUAGUCAAUAUUAUCGGCUACCUAUGUGUACUAUGGAGUAUUUGGUCAUUACAGUUUGAGUUAUGGGUUCGUUCACGGUUACGCUUUAAGUAAUUAGAAAUAUAUGAUAACAUUUGAGUGUUUAGAAAUAA